Regulatory RNA element from Klebsiella sp. RIT-PI-d, 96 nucleotides. It matches the Rfam family "Tryptophan operon leader". From Rfam's summary of the family: At least 6 amino acid operons are known to be regulated by attenuation. In each a leader sequence of 150-200 bp is found upstream of the first gene in the operon. This leader sequence can assume two different secondary structures known as the terminator and the anti-terminator structure. The record is from Rfam. Lineage: Bacteria; Pseudomonadati; Pseudomonadota; Gammaproteobacteria; Enterobacterales; Enterobacteriaceae.
CGCAGCGGUUGGCGGACUCCCUGAUCACGGGCUGUAUCAUCACGUCUGCACUUUGCAAACAGAUACCCGGCCCGCCAUCAGAGCGGGCUUUUUUUU